RNAcentral lists this ribosomal RNA (460 nucleotides) under uncultured bacterium. Its description in RNAcentral is "partial 16S ribosomal RNA". It matches the Rfam family "Bacterial small subunit ribosomal RNA", at positions 338 to 795 of the family's 1533-position model. The record is from RNAcentral.
CCUACGGGAGGCAGCAGUGAGGAAUAUUGGUCAAUGGUCGGGAGACUGAACCAGCCAAGCCGCGUGAGGGAGGAAGGUACAGAGUAUCGUAAACCUCUUUUGUCAGGGAACAAAGGCGGGGACGUGUCCCCGGAUGAGUGUACCUGAAGAAAAAGCAUCGGCUAACUCCGUGCCAGCAGCCGCGGUAAUACGGAGGAUGCGAGCGUUAACCGGAUUUAUUGGGGUUAAAGGGUGAGCAGGCGGUCCGUUAAGUCAGAGGGCAAAGCCCCGGGCUCAACCCCGGCACGGCGGUUGAAAUGGGCAGUCUCGAGUUGGAGAGAGGUAUGCAGAAUGCGCGGUGUAGCGGUGAAAUGCAUAGAUAUCGCGCAGAACUCCGAUUGCGAAGGCAGCAUGCCGGCUCCACACUGACGCUGAGGCACGAAAGCGUGGGUAUCGAACAGGAUUAGAUACCCUUGUAGUC